GUGUCUGGAAUUGGUGGGUUCUUGAUCUCACUGACUUCAAGAAUGGAGACGUGGCCCCUCGUGGAAUGUUAGAAUUCUUAAAGAUGGUGUGUCUGGAGUGCGUUCCUUCAGAUGUGUCUGCUGUUUCUUCCUCCUAGUGGGUUCAUGGUCUCGUUGAUUUCAAGACCCAAGCUGCAGACCUUCAAGGCUCUCCUUUGAUAUCGAACAGGAAAGCUUUGGAGCAAAGUUCCUCAACCGUGCUGAGCCAACAGUGGUUCCAGUGGAUGCAGCAAUGUGAGUUAGGAUAAAGAUCUGAAGAUAAAAGAGG
Molecule: long non-coding RNA, 307 nt
Filed under: Papio anubis (olive baboon)
Lineage: Eukaryota; Metazoa; Chordata; Mammalia; Primates; Cercopithecidae
Description: lncRNA (ENSPANG00000045569.1)
Source: RNAcentral